UGUAAUCACCUCUUAUACCUGAUAGAAAUUCCUGCUGCACGCCUACCGCCGCCUGUGGAUUGAAAAGGGUUGCAUAGCCGACAACAGGGUAAAACUUGUUGGAUCAAACUCCCGCCUACUGAGAUAAAGGCUUGGUAUGUUGUUGUCCAUCUGAAUUCUUCCCAAACCACUAUCUUUCCUGAUUGUGGCACCGGAAGUUAGGUGUAAAAACGUGCUUUAGCGAUGUUUAUGUGGAAUCCAAACUGGAGAAGAAUUAGUAUCUGGCAGUAAAAGGAGGUAAGAGCGACAACUUUCAGCUGCGAGUACUGAGAAUCAGAGUCCCCACCUCAGCAAACAAAGCCACACAAAUACGGACUUCUCAUGGAAGAAGGACAGGAUGUUCUUACUGAUGGGGCUUUGCUGGGGUCGUCUAUGUCCUACUGAACAAAAGGAUGACAGAGUGGGGUACUAUGUAGAGCCAAUGAGCUGUCCUCCCUUCACUUUUAAGAAAUUGGCAGUACCGAUCCUCUGCACUGUAGCUGUUUCUCAAGUGGAUACUUGAGGUCAGCCAGUUCACAAUUGUGGGAAUUUCAGGGCACGAUAAGCCCUUCAAGUAGCAGGAAAUGUAUAAAAGUCAUGGCGCAACAGACUAUUGCUUCUAACCUAUAACAACCGCUUGGGUUGUGAUUCUGCUACAUCAUAGGUUUGUUGGGGAUGUGAAGGAUGUCGAGCUCAUUUGCAGGUAUAAUUGGAGGUGCCGGAGUGGUGCUAGCAGUGCUGGCAAUAGUUAUAGGUAUUGUCUGCUAUUGCAUGUUGCAACAUAAAAGAUUCUCAAACAGGAAUUCGGAUACAGGUUCUUCAGAUCCAUCUGCAGUAGUUGAGUUGAGGAGAGGAGGCGGCCCUGGUUCAUCCACAGCCACAACUAUACCGGGACGAAAUGGAGCUGUUCAAUUCACCAUAGGAGAGUUGGAGCAGGCUACCAAGCAUUUUCACGAAAGCAAUCUCAUUGGAUACGGAAGUUUUGGUCUUGUUUACAAAGGAUUAUUGCUUCGUGAUGGCAACUUUGUUGCUAUCAAAAAGCGUACUGGUGCCCCUCGAAGAGAACUUGUUGAGGAGGUAGCUUAUUUAUCAAGGAUUUCGCACCGCAACUUAGUAACACUUCUAGGUUACUGUCAGGAAAGUGGAUAUCAAAUGUUAGUUUUCGAAUAUUUACCCAAUGGCAGCAUGUGCAAUCAUUUGUAUGAUGAUCGAAAAGAUUUGACAACAAAACUAGAAUUCAAGCAAAGGCUAUCCAUAAGUCUUGGGGCAGCUAAAGGUUUGUGGCAUUUGCAUAACCAGAAACCUCCCGUAGUGCAUGGAAACUUCAAAACAGCAAAUGUCUUGGUUGAUGAAAACUUCAUUGCUAAAGUCGCAGAUGCAGGGGUUUACAAACUACUUCCAAGAACAGACGAUGCAGCAUUUAGGGCAGGCCAAAUGGGGAUUUUCUCUGAAAUGAAUGAUGUGUUCAGCUUUGGAGUAUUCCUUUUGGAGCUUGUAACUGGUCGGGAGGCUUCAAAUCUUGACGCCUUUGGAUCUAAUGAAACUAUGCUUCAAUGGGUUGAAACAGGUUUAAGUUCGAAUGAUUUUGUGGACCAUCGGCUAGAUGGAAGCUUCACCUCGGAGGGAAUGCGAGAUUUCAUGAGGCUGGCGCUGCAAUGCAUGAGUUUUCCCGGGGAAAGGAGACCAAAUAUGGAAAUGGUUGUGUCACAACUCGACGGAAUACUCGAGAAAGAGAUCACUCUCACCACUGUAAUGGGUGAGAGCUCCACCACGGUUACUCUUGGAAGCCAGCUAUUUACUUCUUGAAAAGCAUAAAGAAGAAGAAGACGAGCAUUGCUGGGUACUGGCCUUUUUCAUUUAUGUGAUCUGUUCUUCUAUUGAGAUGGGCCAGAGGCGGCCUACAAAAGAAGGUAAUUAAGGAUCUUUACAUGAACAAGAUUCUCAUCUUUUAUAGAGAAAUGAGAAGGGGCAAAUUGCUCUCGGUAUGACAUGUUAUGUGCUAAGACUAGGAGGUCUAAGAACACUAUGAACAGAAACAUUGAUCAGCUGUGAAGAUUGCAUCCUUCAAAUAGACAGAUUAAUUUAAACUGGGGUGCUUUCAGAUUAAUUCCCUCAUAAGAAGAGUACUAGAAAACUUGUCAUACUCAUAGAGGAUUAUUUGAAUGUUUGAGAUAGUUUAGUUGGAUCAACUGUCAAGAUUUAGAUGGCCUUGUCAACUCCCCUGCUUAACAAUGGCUCCUGCAUUCAUUUGGUAGCAAAUUUUUGUUUUUUCCGGAGAUCGUGACCAUAGUUGUUAAAUCGAGA
Molecule: RNA transcript, 2322 nt
Organism: Diospyros lotus (date-plum)
Lineage: Eukaryota; Viridiplantae; Streptophyta; Magnoliopsida; Ericales; Ebenaceae
Gene name: probable serine/threonine-protein kinase PBL28
Exons: 9
Source: RefSeq, a predicted model, not a curated record